Molecule: ribosomal RNA, 253 nt
Filed under: uncultured bacterium
Lineage: Bacteria
Description: partial 16S ribosomal RNA
Rfam family: Bacterial small subunit ribosomal RNA
Source: RNAcentral
UACGUAGGGUGCAAGCGUUGUCCGGAAUUAUUGGGCGUAAAGAGCUCGUAGGCGGUUUGUUGCGUCGGCUGUGAAAACCUGAGGCUCAACCUCAGGCCUGCAGUCGAUACGGGCGGACUUGAGUGUUGCAGGGGAGACUGGAGUUCCUGGUGUAGCGGUGAAAUGCGCAGAUAUCAGGAGGAACACCGGUGGCGAAGGCGGGUCUCUGGGCAACUACUGACGCUGAGGAGCGAAAGCGUGGGGAGCGAACAGG